GAUGAACGCUAGCGGCAGGCUUAAUACAUGCAAGUCGUGGGGCAGCAUGAGUAGCAAUACUUGAUGGCGACCGGCAAACGGGUGCGGAACACGUACACAACCUUCCGAUAAGUGGGGAAUAGCCCAGAGAAAUUUGGAUCAAUACCCCGUAACAUAUAGAGUAGGCAUCUUCUUUAUAUUAUAGCUUCGGCGCUUAUUGAUGGGUGUGCGUCUGAUUAGGUAGUUGGCGGGGUAACGGCCCACCAAGCCUACGAUCAGUAGCUGAUGUGAGGGCAUGAGCAGACACACGGGCACUGGGACACGGGCCCGACUCCUACGGGGGGCAGCAGUAAGGAAUAUUGGACAAUGGGCGAAAGCCUGAUCCAGCCAUGCCGCGUGAAGGAUUAAGGUCCUCUGGAUUGUAAACUUCUUUUAUUUGGGACGAAAAAAGGGAAUUCUUUCCCACUUGACGGUACCAAGUGAAUAAGCACCGGCUAACUCCGUGCCAGCCGCCGCAGUAG
This 500-nucleotide ribosomal RNA is filed under the name uncultured bacterium. RNAcentral's name for it is "partial 16S ribosomal RNA". It matches the Rfam family "Bacterial small subunit ribosomal RNA", at positions 28 to 523 of the family's 1533-position model. The record is from RNAcentral.